Gasterosteus aculeatus aculeatus (three-spined stickleback) is the source of this 5248-nucleotide long non-coding RNA. NCBI's taxonomy places the organism in Eukaryota, Metazoa, Chordata, Actinopteri, Perciformes, Gasterosteidae. The record is from Ensembl.
GGUGUUGGUGCGGCUCUCCUCUCCUGUCGGUGGGUAAGCACUUUGCCGGGUGACAGCACUCAUCCUUCACUGGGCUCUGCCAUAUGCUGCGCCGAUGCCAGAGGAGACGACUGCAGAUGCUCCAGCUGCACCCCCCGUGCACAACGAGCAACGCGCGCACACACACACACACACAUGCGCAACCAGCUAUCUGAGCAGGAUAAAGAGGCUGGUGGGAGAGGAUGUGACAAGGGGGGAAAGGCUGCAUUUGGAGUUUUGGGUAAAAAAGGAAAAGCAAAGCAAUCUUUCAUUCCUUGUAAAUGAGGUAAAAUAUAAUUCUAAUUUUGUUCUGCCUAAUCAGAACAGGGAGCAAAAAGUUGAAAGGCUUUGCAUGAGACGAUUUGGAUCAUUUGAAAAGGGGUCAAAGCAAUAGAAAUGAAAAUAAGGCUUGAGACAAAGGAAGAGAAUGCAUGCUUGAUUUUCUUUUCGUGCACAGGGGUUUUUAUCGGGAUGGCUUGUUGUCACCCAGUAUUUUAGCCACAAUGGCUCCUUUAAUUGAUACCGCCUUUGCAACACUUCUGCACCAGCAACACAUCAACAGAUCUUUCGCAUCCCUCCAGAAGCUCUUGGCUUCUCAGUAGAAAAUAAACAAACAGGCAACUUUGGCCUGCUUAUUUAUUUUAUUUUAGUUUCCUUUUUCCAAACAUUUCAUCUAGCAGCGCCUCGGAGUCUAGAAGCUAUCACUUUAAUGUCUGCGAUCCUCCAGCAGAGAAAACAAAAGUACUCGAAAAGACACCCGAAUGGCUGGUGCUUACAGACGACACGCAGUGGCUCAUGCUCACUGCCAGCUGUGAAACUAAGUGUGCGUGCGUGUGUAGGUGAAAACUGCCCGUGUCUGCCUGUGUAUGUGUACGGACAGGGUUAGACAGCCACGCUUGGCUGUAAAUCCGGCGCCGGCGCUUCGUUCAGCAGCUCGACUUCAAACCAUGCGUUAAAUAUGCCUCUGUGUGUGCAGAUAUACCUGAAGGCCUCUGUGUCAAUGGCGGGCUUCUCCCUGUGAGUCACGGACACAGCUGGGUUCCGUGCAAACAGCCAACUGAAUUCACCGCUCCGACACGAGGAGAACGCGGAUGGGUGGAUACGGUGGUUUGAUCUAGUAGGAGAAAAAAAGAAAAAAUUGAGAAUCGAGUUUCCGUCUCAACAGAAAAUACACCGUAAGUUGCUAAAGGUAAAAGUCCCGCCCCGAUGUUUCAUUCCAAAUGUCUACUUUACUUUCAAAAGAAAAAAGCACGUUGUACCUUUUUUACGUAAGACAACAAACCUGGCUGAGGAGUUGGAGGUGUGCGGCUCAUCACAUUGUCUUUGUUCUUUGAUUUGUUGUGUGAGUUGUGUGAGUUGUGUGAUCUUUCUCUGAUGUGUUAGGCUAUCUGCCCAGUUUUUUCUUCCUUUGUUUCCUUAAAAACAAGCCCAGAAAUACAAAGCGUGUCACACUUUGUCCUUCAAAGAAAAGACCAAACGGUAUCUUGUAAGAACAGCGACUGCAAAAUUGUCUUUUAGGUUGAAUAAGGUCCUUGAAAAAACAAUUAUAACCACUUGGGAUGAAAUGAAUAGCAUGAUAUUAAAGGAGGCUCUAGCUAUUCUCUUCUAAGGGGAGAGUGCAGUGUUGAUUCUUGACUUUUAUUUAAUAGUGCUGGGACUUGGGGCUCUGUUUGCUUGAUGGUGGUCAACGUUUGCAGCGGCCGUUAACUCUGAGUCCUGUUUCAGAGUCCGUCAGAUAUCCUGUCAUUGCUCUGAGGAUUUUUGAUUUUUUUUUGUUUUGGGGGGGAUAGCACCUGAAGGUGGGUUGAGAGGACAAAUAAGAAAAGGAAGAUGGAAAAAGAGAGCUGCAGAGCGGGCGGUGACAGCGGGGAUGUUGACUCUGACCGGCUGGAGAGCCAGUCGUGCAUUAUAACAAGCCGGUGAUGAGAUUUGCGCCCAGAGGAUUCAGAGGACGGGUUCAAAGAUAUAAUAAUGCCGUUGUAGUGUGUUUAUUUAGCUGGUUUUAAUGAAAAUCCUGGAGUUACUGGUCACUUUAUACUUUCUCUCAUUUUUCAUCUAGUACAGACCCACCGUGUCUUAGACGUUCACUGUGUGAUUAAAACAUACUGUAUCACCCUUCAACCCUAGAUUCAGGUUGAGUUGCAAUCAAAUUCCCUCUUAAUAACAGACGACGUUAUACACUGCUGCACUCUCUCUGUAAAAUAAAGUCAAUUGUGUUCUUAAUGCAUUGGUGUUGUUCAUCACACUGAUGAAUAUGGUGUUUUUAAAUGGAACAAAAGCGCAGGUACAAAAAGAUGUAGACAACAUGUUUCCUGUGUAUCCAAUGCUCAGAGCGUUGAAUCCUAAACUAUUAGCAAAUAUAAGUACUCUUGCUGCAAUUUUGGAGGGAAUAAAAUGCAGUCCUGACCUCUCAUCAACAAAGAGGGACAAAAACAAUUCAAAUUGAGUAUUAAUUACAACCAAGCGUUGGAAGCAUUAGCAGCUACGAAAAGAGGAGGGUAAAUGUUAAAAAAUGAAUUAAUAAAUAGUCAGUGGGCUGCAGCAGGUGCACAAUGGAAUUAAAUUGCGUUUCGCUAAUUUUGGUAUCCAUUUGAUAUUAAAAUAAAGGCUGCAAUUACACAAUUUAGUUUUCCCUCUAAUUAUAAGCAAUUAAAAUAAUUUAACUAUGGUGGAUAUAGCUGUUCGCUCGCCUGGCAGCCAUUUCUUGAAACUGGUUUUGGGCCCCGUCUCUGCCAGCAGAAUUGUUUCGAAUUUUGCCAUUCAUUCUGUCAGUUUGGGUUUGCUUAUUGUAAGUAUUUCUCAAAAAUCCAUUAUUUUACACAGAUUCUGCAGAAAGAUUGGUCAUCUGUCAAAAAACACAUAACUUCUACAUGUAUUCUAGAAACAUCAUUAGACACUGUGUCCCAGUCAAACAGGCACUUAUUUCAAUGUUAGUUAUAUCGAAUAUACUUUAUAUGGUGAAUAACAGUUUUUGAAACCCGUAUAGCAAUCUAAUUGCACCCUCUCUGAUUUGAUGCCGCAAUAGUCUUUAAAUGUGUCUAAAAUUGAACGCCAUGUGUUGGCAGUCAUGGAAAUGAGUGGAAAGGAGCUUUGGAGGAAACUGACACGUGGGCCUGGUUAAUCUUGACAAUUGCAUGGAGCUACUGGAGAUUCACACUGAGUGCCAUAUAGUUGCCCAUAAAGUCAGCAGCAGUAUGACUCUAAUACGAGGGAAACAACAAGUGUUCCCUAAGUUAAUGAAUUUCACUUUAUUUGACUUUUUUUUGUUCCAAACUAUUUCACGCUUGGCUAAACACUGUAAAUCCAUAAACAAACACAUAAACAGGCAGAAAAAGAUUGAUGCUCUAUGAAUAAAUCAUCUGGGGACAGAAACUCAAUUUUAACUCUGCGUUGCCUGGAGGGUUAAGAGGGAGCUUAAGACAGAUCCAUCUUGAUGUCUGAGGAACUAACUGGAAGGCGAACGCUUUAGCAAGUACUUAUCCCGGGAACAUAAUUACCCAAACAAAUGAUUGUGGUGAUAUGGCGGCAAUGAUUCUUCAUUACUGUAAUUUUUUACCCACAGUUUUUACACAGAUUGUAUUUCUGUCAUCAUCAUCAUCAUCAUCGUCGGCAUGAUUAACACAGCUGGGGAAUAAAUAAAAGCUGGCUGGUCGGCCAGUUGGACACUAAACUGGGACUAACAGCCUUUUCCCACAAACGCAAACAAACCUUUGGCAUUCAAACCUUUCACACACAAAUAUCACAGUUCAAUACAUUCUACCAAAUCACACAAUCAUCGCUUCAUAAGUGGGUUUCACUGCAUGUAAACACACACGCUAUCUACACAUUAGACCCUUCAUACAACGGGUGCUAUGAUGUUCUACAUGAAAAGUUACACACCUAUAAAGCUUAACAAGUGUGCAUUCUGAACGUCAGCUUUCCUCAUUCACGGAUGGACUGAUUCAUUUCUAGCGUAUGUAGCGUAUUCGUAUGUGUUUAUUUCUAUGUGAUACAUACCUAAUGGUCAUUUUAAUUUACUUCCGGGGCUGCGUGGAUUUCUCAAGCAAAGAUAGCGAGCUUAUAUGCCGGCGUGCUGGUAAUAACAUAAUUAGGGCUGCAGGCUACCGAAUAAUUUGAAGCUUCAUUCCUAACGUUGACAUUCAAAUUAUUAUUAUUAACAACUUGCAGAAAACAUUGCGCGCGAUAGUCUCUCUCUCUCUCUCUCUCUCUCAGUUCAUGGCUCUGUAUCGUCUCAGUCCAAAUGUCUUGAACAAAGAUGAAUCGAAAACUUUCCAAAGUUCAUAUGUUUUUAUUUCAUGAAAAAUGUGCUUAUUUCCGUGGUCUGACGGAUCGAAUCCCAAUGUGAGCAAGAUCUGAUCCCAAGGCGUACAGAUUUGACAUUUAUUGAUUGAAUGAGAAAAAUCACAUCGAAGACCAUAAGGAACCACAGCCUAAGAUUUUGGUGGGCCUUCAAAUCAUCAGAUUUUCCCCUCUACACACACAAUACUGACCCUAACCAAUCCUAAAAAUGUUUGACAUUUGGAGGGAACCCAAAUGUUUUUGGUAACCCCUUUUUACAUUUGACAUCGUACCACCAUCAAGCCAAAACGUUCUUUUCUGAUAUUACAGAUAUCUAAUGACUACAAUGAUUACCCUACUAUUACCUUGUGAUGGCUUUCAUUUAAUGAACAUGGUUAAGUCAUUGUUCAACACUGGGUUGUGCAACGUAAUGCAUUUAUAGUCCUAAUUAGGCUGUAUAAGAAACAACAGCAUCUUUGAGUUAAGAGGUCUAAUCUGUGACAAUUCCUAAAUUGAUCUAUUAUUAUAGAUGUGGGGUAUUUGUUUAUUUCGCAAUUGCAAAUGUAGUUAAACCGGCUACGUCUCUGCUUUUAGUUUGUGGGUGUCUGAAGGAUAAAGAGGACGGGCUUGAUAAUGACAGAAGAUGACAGCCGCUAGCGUGAAGACUGUCAGGGCAGCGAGCGUGUCUAAAUAACCAGGUGCUGCCAUUUAGUUUCCACCUAGUUAAACAGUGGACUAAUUGGUCAAGUUAGCCAGUAAUUAGACCAGCUCUGCCGCGCUGCAUCCGAGAGCCCUGCGUCUGCCCUGCCGCGCUAAUUGGGCUAUUUAUACUGAAACCCAUCGACCAGGCUGCAUGCCCUCCCUUCCAAUUCGCUUUUCAGCACUCAGUUCAUCUUUUUUCAUGUGUGCUCGGGACACGGUGCCGCCCUCCUCCUCCUCCUCCUCCACCACC